This 665-nucleotide ribosomal RNA is filed under the name uncultured Bacillus sp. RNAcentral describes it as "bacterial SSU rRNA". It matches the Rfam family "Bacterial small subunit ribosomal RNA", at positions 57 to 689 of the family's 1533-position model. The record is from RNAcentral. Lineage: Bacteria; Bacillati; Bacillota; Bacilli; Caryophanales; Bacillaceae.
GCAAGUCGAGCGCGUGAAGCAGAUGGAAUCCUUCGGGAGGAAAUCUGUGGAACGAGCGGCGGACGGGUGAGUAACACGUGGGUAACCUGCCUGUAAGACUGGGAUAACUCGCGGAAACGUGAGCUAAUACCGGAUGAAACUUAUCAUCACCUGAUGAAAAGAUGAAAGGCGGCUUCGGCUGCCACUUACAGAUGGACCCGCGGCGCAUUAGCUAGUUGGUGAGGUAAUGGCUCACCAAGGCAACGAUGCGUAGCCGACCUGAGAGGGUGAUCGGCCACACUGGGACUGAGACACGGCCCAGACUCCUACGGGAGGCAGCAGUAGGGAAUCUUCCGCAAUGGACGAAAGUCUGACGGAGCAACGCCGCGUGAGUGAUGAAGGUUUUCGGAUCGUAAAACUCUGUUGUUAGGGAAGAACAAGUAUCGUUCGAAUAGGGCGGUACCGUGACGGUACCUAACCAGAAAGCCCCGGCUAACUACGUGCCAGCAGCCGCGGUAAUACGUAGGGGGCAAGCGUUGUCCGGAAUUAUUGGGCGUAAAAGUGCUCGCAGGCGGCCUUUUAAGUCUGAUGUGAAAGCCCACGGCUUAACCGUGGAGGGUCAUUGGAAACUGAGGGGCUUGAGUACAGAAGAGGAGAGUGGAAUUCCACGUGUAGCGGUGAAAUGC